This 465-nucleotide ribosomal RNA is filed under the name uncultured bacterium. RNAcentral describes it as "partial 16S ribosomal RNA". It matches the Rfam family "Bacterial small subunit ribosomal RNA", at positions 338 to 795 of the family's 1533-position model. The record is from RNAcentral.
CCUACGGGCGGCUGCAGUGGGGAAUAUUGCGCAAUGGGCGAAAGCCUGACGCAGCGACGCCGCGUGGGGGAUGAAGGUCUUCGGAUCGUAAACCUCUGUCAGCAGGGAAGAACGGUCACUGUGCUAAUCAGCAGUGAAUUGACGGUACCUGCAAAGGAAGCACCGGCUAACUACGUGCCAGCAGCCGCGGUAAUACGGAGGGUGCGAGCGUUAAUCGGAAUUUCUGGGCGUAAAGCGCUCGUAGGCGGUAUGUCAAGUCAAGGGUGAAAUCCCCGCGCUCAACGUGGGAACUGCCUUUGAAACUGGCAAACUGGAGUGUGUGAGAGGAGAGUGGAAUUCCAGGUGUAGGAGUGAAAUCCGUAGAUAUCUGGAGGAACAUCAGUGGCGAAGGCGACUAUCUGGCACAUAACUGACGCUGAGGAGCGAAAGCGUGGGUAGCAAACAGGAUUAGAUACCCUAGUAGUC